RNAcentral lists this ribosomal RNA (447 nucleotides) under uncultured bacterium. Its description in RNAcentral is "partial 16S ribosomal RNA". It matches the Rfam family "Bacterial small subunit ribosomal RNA", at positions 29 to 523 of the family's 1533-position model. The record is from RNAcentral.
AGCGAACGCUGGCGGCAAGCUUAACACAUGCAAGUCGAACGCCCCGCAAGGGGAGUGGCGGACGGGUGUAUAACGCGUGGGAAUCUACCCUUCAGUGUAGGAUAACUCAGGGAAACUUGAGCUAAUACUGCAUAAUAUAUCCGGAUCAAAGAUUUAUCGCUGAAGGAUGAGCCCGCGUCUGAUUAGCUAGUUGGUGGGGUAAUGGCCGACCAAGGCAACGAUCAGUAGCUGGUCUAAGAGGAUGAUCAGCCACACUGGGACUGAGACCCGGCCCAGACUCCUACGGGAGGCAGCAGUGGGGAAUAUUGGACAAUGGGGGAAACCCUGAUCCAGCCAUGCCGCGUGAGUGAUGAAGGCCUUAGGGUUGUAAAGCUCUUUCAGUAGGGAAGAUAAUGACGGUACCUACAGAAGAAGCCCCGGCUAACUUCGUGCCAGCAGCCGCCGUAA